This 92-nucleotide transfer RNA is filed under the name Christensenella minuta. RNAcentral describes it as "tRNA-Ser". It matches the Rfam family "tRNA". Rfam says of the family: Transfer RNA (tRNA) molecules are approximately 80 nucleotides in length. Their secondary structure includes four short double-helical elements and three loops (D, anti-codon, and T loops). Lineage: Bacteria; Bacillati; Bacillota; Clostridia; Christensenellales; Christensenellaceae. The record is from RNAcentral.
GGAGCAGUGGCUGAGAUGGCUUAAGGCGCACGAUUGGAAAUCGUGUGAACGUUAAUAGCGUUCCGGAGGUUCGAAUCCUCUCUGCUCCGCCA